AUUGAACGCUGGCGGCAUGCCUUACACAUGCAAGUCGAACGGCAGCGCGGGAGCAAUCCUGGCGGCGAGUGGCGAACGGGUGAGUAGUGCAUCGGAACGUGCCCAGUUGUGGGGGAUAGCCCGGCGAAAGCCGGAUUAAUACCGCAUGAGACCUGAGGGUGAAAGCGGGGGAUCGAAAGACCUCGCGCGACUGGAGCGGCCGAUGUCAGAUUAGGUAGUUGGUGGGGUAAGGGCCUACCAAGCCUGCGAUCUGUAGCUGGUCUGAGAGGACGACCAGCCACACUGGGACUGAGACACGGCCCAGACUCCUACGGGAGGCAGCAGUGGGGAAUUUUGGACAAUGGGCGCAAGCCUGAUCCAGCCAUGCCGCGUGCGGGAAGAAGGCCUUCGGGUUGUAAACCGCUUUUGUCGGGGAAGAAACGGCCUGGGCUAAUACCUUGGGCUAAUGACGGUACCCGAAGAAUAAGCACCGGCUAACUACGUGCCAGCCGCCGCAGUAA
RNAcentral lists this ribosomal RNA (500 nucleotides) under uncultured bacterium. RNAcentral's name for it is "partial 16S ribosomal RNA". It matches the Rfam family "Bacterial small subunit ribosomal RNA", at positions 29 to 523 of the family's 1533-position model. The record is from RNAcentral.